GAUGAACGCUAGCGGCAGGCUUAAUACAUGCAAGUCGAGGGGUAGCAUGAUUGUAGCAAUACAAUUGAUGACGACCGGCAAACGGGUGCGGAACACGUACACAACCCUUCCUACAAGUGGGGAAUAGCCCAGAGAAAUUUGGAUUAAUACCCCGUAACAUAGCGAUGUGGCAUCACAUUGCUAUUAUAGCUUCGGCGCUUGUUGAUGGGUGUGCGGCUGAUUAGAUAGUUGGCGGGGUAACGGCCCACCAAGUCUACGAUCAGUAGCUGAUGUGAGAGCAUGAUCAGCCACACGGGCACUGAGACACGGGCCCGACUCCUACGGGAGGCAGCAGUAAGGAAUAUUGGACAAUGGACGCAAGUCUGAUCCAGCCAUGCCGCGUGAAGGAUUAAGGUCCUCUGGAUUGUAAACUUCUUUUAUAAGGGACGAAAAAGGUACUUUACGUAGAUCGUCUGACGGUACCUUAUGAAUAAGCACCGG
RNAcentral lists this ribosomal RNA (480 nucleotides) under uncultured bacterium. Its description in RNAcentral is "bacterial SSU rRNA". It matches the Rfam family "Bacterial small subunit ribosomal RNA", at positions 28 to 496 of the family's 1533-position model. The record is from RNAcentral.